RNAcentral lists this ribosomal RNA (492 nucleotides) under uncultured bacterium. RNAcentral's name for it is "partial 16S ribosomal RNA". It matches the Rfam family "Bacterial small subunit ribosomal RNA", at positions 29 to 507 of the family's 1533-position model. The record is from RNAcentral.
AGUGAACGCUGGCGGUAGGCCUAACACAUGCAAGUCGAACGGCAGCACAGUAAGAGCUUGCUCUUACGGUUGGCGAGUGGCGGACGGGUGAGGAAUACAUCGGACUCUACUUUUUCGUGGGGGAUAACGUAGGGAAACUUACGCUAAUACCGCAUACGACCUACGGGUGAAAGCAGGGGAUCUUCGGACCUUGCGCGAUUGAUUGAGCCGAUGUCGGAUUAGCUAGUUGGCUGGGUAAAGGCCCACCAAGGCGACGAUCCGUAGCUUGUCUGAGAGGAUGAUCAGCCACACUGGAACUGAGACACGGUCCAGACUCCUACGGGAGGCAGCAGUGGGGAAUAUUGGACAAUGGGCGCAAGCCUGACCCAGCCAUACCGCGUGGGUGAAGAAGGCCUUCGGGUUGUAAAGCCCUUUUGUUGGGAAAGAAAAGCAGUAGGUUAAUACGCCGCUGUUCUGACGGUACCCAAAGAAGAAGCACCGGCUAACUUCGUG